CCAGAGGGUCAUUUCUGUGUGUGGUUAGGGCUUGUGUAAGUACAAAAGAAGCAGCAGAAGAUUGAAAACAUCAUUCUGUGUGCUGCAUGUAUGUGAUGAUUUUGUGACCAUCAGGAUUGAUUUCUUUUAUUAAGUGGCUCAUCAGAUGUUUGAGAAAAUGGCCAUAAGAGGAUUGAUGAAACUUGAAAGAGGUUGUGGUAUUUCUAGCAGGUUGAGAGGAUAACUCGUGACAGGGUUCAGGUGAAGUAGGAAAGACCCACCAUGACCUGCGAGUUAAUGGUUUUUGGGGGUAUGAACAAUUUAAUGUGUUAUCUCCAUUCAUAGUUUAGUGUACCUAGCUGUUUUCUUUGCAUGUUGAAUAAUAUUGUUGGUACCAGUAGGCCUUUUCCCAGCCCCAGGUAAAUAUCAUGAGGCUACCUGUAAGUUGGAAUCCUACAGCUGCCACCCAUGGCUCAUUUCAAGUAGUAAUUUCAGAGUUAAUUUUCCU
Molecule: long non-coding RNA, 487 nt
Organism: Triticum dicoccoides
Lineage: Eukaryota; Viridiplantae; Streptophyta; Magnoliopsida; Poales; Poaceae
Exons: 3
Source: RefSeq, a predicted model, not a curated record